UACAGAGGGUGCGAGCGUUAAUCGGAAUUACUGGGCGUAAAGCGCGCGUAGGCGGCUUUGCAAGUCGGGUGUGAAAUCCCCAGGCUUAACCUGGGAACUGCAUUCGAGACUGCAUUGCUAGAGUAUGGGGAGAGGGAAGUGGAAUUUCAGGUGUAGCGGUGAAAUGCGUAGAUAUCUGAAGGAACAUCAGUGGCGAAAAGCGACUUCCUGGACCAAUACUGACGCUCAUGUGCGAAAGCGUGGGGGAGCAAACAGG
This 256-nucleotide ribosomal RNA is filed under the name uncultured bacterium. RNAcentral's name for it is "partial 16S ribosomal RNA". It matches the Rfam family "Bacterial small subunit ribosomal RNA", at positions 524 to 776 of the family's 1533-position model. The record is from RNAcentral.